UGCGAAACGACGUAGGCCUCUACACCAAUGAAUGAAAAGUGAAAUGGCGCUGCUGCAGCUGCACCCUUGAUGCUGCUGCAGCCUCUUCUACUUGCCUAUCUUCCUUGAUUACCGCCACCGACUGAAUGGAGAACACCUGGUUUCAGAAGCCGUGUUGGGGCAGCAGGUUGAUGGUAGUGGAUGCCAACAGACUCAAUAAGCUGAUACAGAAAGCAGGUGAUGUUGUGGGAAUGGGACUCCCUGACAGCAGUGUCAGAAUGGAGGAUGCCAUCUAAGUCACACGCUAUCUCCAACCCACUCCACGAUGGUCCUGUUAGACACAGGAGUCCUUUCAGGAAUAGACUGAUUCCACCAUGAUGCUCCUCAGGACGCCAAAGGAGGUCAUUCCUGCCCGUGGCCAUCAGACUUUACAACUCCUCCCUCGCAGUGUCAGACAGUCUGAGUCAGUAGACUGUGAGACUUGUAGCUGCUACACUGUUUUGCACACAUUCUUUUAUAUUUAUUUUAGGUUUAUUUUACACUCUAUAUAGAUUUCCAGUCUUGGUUGAAGCAACUGUAACAAAGUACAAACCUGUGUUGUGGCUACAAGUGAAUGUUUUUCAGGAAGGACAAUGAAAGAUAACUAAAUCUGCUUCAUUUUCAAAUGACAUUAAAAUCUUUAUUUCGCAUAUGACAGCCUCUUCAUAUCGUAAGAGCAUAUUGUGUUGUUAUAUACAGUACAUGAAUUUUUUAAAACAGUAACAAUAAAAUCUUCUUUAAAAAAACAAAUAGCGAGGGGCAUUUAUGUCUUUCAAGUAUCUCUCAAGGAAAGGUGAGUGUUUCUUACAGUUUCCUUUCCAUAAAUACCAUAAAUAAUAUUACACACAAAUGUAGUGGAAUUUACAUUUUAGUCAAACAAGCAGAAGUACAAUUUAAUUGCAUUUAGUUUCUAUGGCACCUUACGGAAUCAAAUGUACUUUUAUCUAUGGGUAAGCAGAAUUAAUGAUAAAGGACACAGAGAAGGGGAUAUUUAAGUCACCGGCUGAAGCUGUGUUUGGCACCUAUGGAUAACUGACCGCUCAUAUUCAGAUAACUGAACAGGAUUUCUCUCAGCACAUAAUGUAGCUGUGCUAGCACAUUCACGAUCUUCACAAUACGUUUAAAUGCAGCUGUCAGCAUUACAUGGUCUUGGAUAAGUAUAUACUUUUUUUUUUUUUUACUACUUUUGCAACAUCCAAG
Scatophagus argus is the source of this 1218-nucleotide long non-coding RNA. RefSeq lists it as uncharacterized. The transcript has 2 exons. Lineage: Eukaryota; Metazoa; Chordata; Actinopteri; Scatophagidae. The record is from RefSeq and is a predicted model, not a curated record.